Molecule: ribosomal RNA, 114 nt
Filed under: Zingiber officinale
Lineage: Eukaryota; Viridiplantae; Streptophyta; Magnoliopsida; Zingiberales; Zingiberaceae
Source: RNAcentral
GCGAUCAUACCAGCACUAAUGUACCGGAUUCCAUCAGAACUCCGAAGUUAAGCAUGCUUGGGCGAGAGCAGUACUAGGAUGGGUGACACCCGAGAAGUCCUCGUAUUGCACAUA